GUACACUCCUGCGGGAGGCAGCAGUGGGGAAUUUUGGACAAUGGGCGAAAGCCUGAUCCAGCCAUGCCGCGUGCAGGAUGAAGGCCUUCGGGUUGUAAACUGCUUUUGUACGGAACGAAACGGCCUUUUCUAAUAAAGAGGGCUAAUGACGGUACCGUAAGAAUAAGCACCGGCUAACUACGUGCCAGCAGCCGCGGUAAUACGUAGGGUGCAAGCGUUAAUCGGAAUUACUGGGCGUAAAGCGUGCACAGGCGGUUAUGUAAGACAGUUGUGAAAUCCCCGGGCUCAACCUGGGAACUGCAUCUGUGACUGCAUAGCUAGAGUACGGUAGAGGGGGAUGGAAUUCCGCGUGUAGUAGUGAAAUGCGUAGAUAUGCGGAGGAACACCGAUGGCGAAGGCAAUCCCCUGGACCUGUACUGACGCUCAUGCACGAAAGCGUGGGGAGCAAACAGGAUUAGAUACCCUAGUAGUCCCAUG
RNAcentral lists this ribosomal RNA (477 nucleotides) under uncultured organism. RNAcentral describes it as "partial 16S ribosomal RNA". It matches the Rfam family "Bacterial small subunit ribosomal RNA", at positions 331 to 799 of the family's 1533-position model. The record is from RNAcentral.